UAAUAUUAUAGAUUUCUUAGGCCUUCGGAGUGGUGGUCAUGAAAGAAAAUUUUUGGAUGAGGCUAAUGACAGUUUCUAUUUCCCUCGUGAGGAUGAGAGAUUCUCCAGACUCUAUUUGGAGUCCAUGAUGGAGGCUUGUGGGGACCUUGCUCUCAAAAGCUUUGUCGCUGCCCGUUGUGCUUCUCGCAAGCUUCGUUGUGAAAUAACUGGCGCUCCUUCAUCCAUUGAACUCGCUGCUGUGCAAGCACGUGUUUCUGAGCUUGAAGUUGAACUUGCUUUGGACAGAAGUCGCAAUGAUCAGCUGACUGCUAGGAAGGAGAAAUUCGCCAAGGAACUUGCCGAAGCUCUGGAAAGCCUCAAGGAGCUCAGAACCAAGCUUGAUCGUGC
This 387-nucleotide long non-coding RNA is filed under the name Setaria viridis. Its description in RNAcentral is "long non-coding RNA (SVIR_LNC009524)". Lineage: Eukaryota; Viridiplantae; Streptophyta; Magnoliopsida; Poales; Poaceae. The record is from RNAcentral.